Molecule: ribosomal RNA, 163 nt
Filed under: Veronica chamaepithyoides
Lineage: Eukaryota; Viridiplantae; Streptophyta; Magnoliopsida; Lamiales; Plantaginaceae
Also listed under: 3 other names
Description: 5.8S ribosomal RNA
Rfam family: 5.8S ribosomal RNA
About the family: 5.8S ribosomal RNA (5.8S rRNA) is a component of the large subunit of the eukaryotic ribosome. It is transcribed by RNA polymerase I as part of the 45S precursor that also contains 18S and 28S rRNA.
Source: RNAcentral
UCUAAACGACUCUCGGCAACGGAUAUCUCGGCUCUCGCAUCGAUGAAGAACGUAGCGAAAUGCGAUACUUGGUGUGAAUUGCAGAAUCCCGUGAACCAUCGAGUCUUUGAACGCAAGUUGCGCCCGAAGCCUUCUGGCUGAGGGCACGCCUGCCUGGGCGUCA